This 504-nucleotide ribosomal RNA is filed under the name uncultured bacterium. Its description in RNAcentral is "partial 16S ribosomal RNA". It matches the Rfam family "Bacterial small subunit ribosomal RNA", at positions 28 to 506 of the family's 1533-position model. The record is from RNAcentral.
GACGAACGCUGGCGGCGUGCCUAAUACAUGCAAGUGGGACGCAAGGAAACACACUGUGCUUGCACACCGUGUUUUCUUGAGUCGCGAACGGGUGAGUAACGCGUAGGUAACCUGCCUAUUAGCGGGGGAUAACUAUUGGAAACGAUAGCUAAUACCGCAUAAUAUUAAUUAUUGCAUGAUAAUUGAUUGAAAGAUGCAAGCGCAUCACUAGUAGAUGGACCUGCGUUGUAUUAGCUAGUUGGUAAGGUAAGAGCUUACCAAGGCGACGAUACAUAGCCGACCUGGGGGGGGGAUCGGCCACCCUGGGACUGGGCCACGGCCCAGCCUCCUCCGGGGGGCAGCGGUGGGGAAUCUUCGGCAAUGGAGGAAAGUCUGACCCAGCAACGCCGGGUGGGUGAAGAAGGUUUUCGGAUCGUAAAGCUCUUUUUUAAGUCAAGAACGUGUGUGAGGGGGGAAAGUUCACACGGGGCCGGUAGCUUACCAAAAAGGGCCGGCUAACUACUU